GUGAGGCGAGUAUCCUAAGGCCAGCGAGCGAACUGUUGUUAAGGAACUCGGCAAAAGGACGCCGUAUCUUAGGGAUAAGGGGUUCCACCAUCAGGUGGCCGCAGAGAAUAGGCCCAAGAGACUGUUUACCAAAAACAUAGGUUUCUGCUAAGUCGCAAGACGAGGUAUAGGAGCUGACGCCUGCCCGGUGCUGGAAGGUUAAGGGAAUCUGUUAGAGCAAUCGAAGCAGUGAACUUAAGCCCCAGUAAACGGCGGCCGUAACUAUAACGGACCUAAGGUAGCGAAAUUCCUUGUCGGGUAAGUUCCGACCCGCACGAAAGGCGUACCGAUUUGGGCACUGUCUCAACAACCGACUCGGUGAAAUUGUAAUUCCGGUGAAGCUGCCGGAUACCUGCGACAGGACGGAAAGACCCCAUGGAGCUUUCCUGUAGCUUUACCUUGGGUCUUGGUACUCCAUGUCCCGUCUAGGUGGGAGGCUUUGAAACCAGGACGCCAGGUUUGGCGGAGC
Molecule: ribosomal RNA, 508 nt
Filed under: Clostridioides difficile
Lineage: Bacteria; Bacillati; Bacillota; Clostridia; Peptostreptococcales; Peptostreptococcaceae
Description: bacterial LSU rRNA
Rfam family: Bacterial large subunit ribosomal RNA
Source: RNAcentral